Molecule: ribosomal RNA, 510 nt
Filed under: Microgaza sp. SWA-2010
Lineage: Eukaryota; Metazoa; Mollusca; Gastropoda; Trochida; Solariellidae
Description: eukaryotic LSU rRNA
Rfam family: Eukaryotic large subunit ribosomal RNA
Source: RNAcentral
CCAAGAAGUCCAACAUGUGCGCGAGUCAUUGGGUCCUACGAAACCUAAAGGCGUAAUGAAGGUGAAGGCAGGUUCGGCCUGCUGAGGUGAGAUCCCCGUCCUCGGGCGGGGCGCAUCACCGGCCCGUCUGUAAAGGCGGAGCAAGAGCGCACACGUUGGGACCCGAAAGAUGGUGAACUAUGCCUGAGCAGGAUGAAGCCAGAGGAAACUCUGGUGGAAGUCCGUAGCGAUUCUGACGUGCAAAUCGAUCGUCGAACUUGGGUAUAGGGGCGAAAGACUAAUCGAACCAUCUAGUAGCUGGUUCCCUCCGAAGUUUCCCUCAGGAUAGCUGGCGCUCGUCCUAACAGUUUUAUCCGGUAAAGCGAAUGAUUAGAGGCCUUGGGGACGAAACGUCCUCAACCUAUUCUCAAACUUUAAAUGGGUAAGGAGUCGGACUCGCUUGAUUGGAGUCCGGACUGGAAUGUGAGUGCCAAGUGGGCCACUUUUGGUAAGCAGAACUGUCGCUGUGGA